This 484-nucleotide ribosomal RNA is filed under the name uncultured bacterium. RNAcentral's name for it is "partial 16S ribosomal RNA". It matches the Rfam family "Bacterial small subunit ribosomal RNA", at positions 30 to 507 of the family's 1533-position model. The record is from RNAcentral.
AUUGAACGCUGGCGGCAGGCCUAACACAUGCAAGUCGAGCGGAUGAAGGGAGCUUGCUCCUGGAUUCAGCGGCGGACGGGUGAGUAAUGCCUAGGAAUCUGCCUGGUAGUGGGGGAUAACGUCCGGAAACGGGCGCUAAUACCGCAUACGUCCUGAGGGAGAAAGUGGGGGAUCUUCGGACCUCACGCUAUCAGAUGAGCCUAGGUCGGAUUAGCUAGUUGGUGGGGUAAAGGCCUACCAAGGCGACGAUCCGUAACUGGUCUGAGAGGAUGAUCAGUCACACUGGAACUGAGACACGGUCCAGACUCCUACGGGAGGCAGCAGUGGGGAAUAUUGGACAAUGGGCGAAAGCCUGAUCCGGCCAUGCCGCGUGUGUGAAGAAGGUCUUCGGAUUGUAAAGCACUUUAAGUUGGGAGGAAGGGCAGUAAGUUAAUACCUUGCUGUUUUGACGUUACCAACAUAAUAAGCACCGGCUAACUUCGUG